ACACGGGCAUCUAAACAGGUCCACACGUGCUCAUCCUGGUCCUGGCCUUGAGAAGAUCCACCUGCUUUUCUGUGGUAAGAUCUCUUUCUCCAGAUAAUGGGGUUAAUU
RNAcentral lists this long non-coding RNA (108 nucleotides) under Oryctolagus cuniculus (rabbit). RNAcentral's name for it is "lncRNA (ENSOCUG00000038476.1)". Lineage: Eukaryota; Metazoa; Chordata; Mammalia; Lagomorpha; Leporidae. The record is from RNAcentral.